RNAcentral lists this long non-coding RNA (4637 nucleotides) under Sus scrofa (pig). RNAcentral's name for it is "lncRNA (ENSSSCG00005022807.1)". The record is from RNAcentral. Lineage: Eukaryota; Metazoa; Chordata; Mammalia; Artiodactyla; Suidae.
AUGCAGCAGGGCUGGGGAGGCAGCUGGCCACCAUGGCAGCCACAGUGCCCCAGGGCCACUGCUCUGACCCGGCCCCUCCUGCAAAGACCCCAUCGUCAUUUGGUGCUCAGAGAGCAGCCCUGUCUGUGGAGCUUGGAUAACACGACUCGCAUGAUUCUCAGUCGGAACUGGAACAAGGUUAGGAUUCAGGGUGAGUGGGUCCUCAGAGUUGACAUAAUUACUGAUCUAAUUCAUGCUUGUGGGGCUGCAUCUCGGCAGCAUUCCUUAGGACACAAGAAGCCACGGCCAGGGAUUAAACCUUUGUCCUCACUGCUAUUAGUUGAGUUUGUUAACCACUGAGCUGCAACGGGAACUCCAGGCUAUAGAUUUUUUUAUGGAGAUGCCCUGGUCAAAACUUCUGUCCUUCUGCCCCAUUCUGGUGACAGGGUCCUCAUGGCUGCCCUAUCCUGGGAAUUCCCUAGAAUUGUCUGUGCCCUGUUACCCUCUCCUUCCCCAGAGAGUCAACCUCAGACUCCAGGCAGGACAUGGUGUUGGUGGUCACCUGGAUGUGUGGGAUAGGGAGGAAUGGGGGCUUCAGCAGCUCCCCUCAUAGGACCAUCAAGCAGCCAGCUCUUUCCAGCCUUUGCCUGGCCUCUCCCCAUUGACCCCCCAUGGGGCAGUCCCUGUACAGACUGUGAGCUUCCCUGACCUUGGCCCUGCCAAUCCCUCCACCCCAGGAAAUGAUUAUCUUUUUGUUCAUCUAAUAAAGUUUUUAAGAAAUUAUUAUUGAGAUGACAUACACAUAAAAUUUCAAAGCGAACCAUUCAGUGGCACAAUAAACUUUACUGAGCUUCAAAACAUUUAAUCACCCUGAAAGAAAACUCCUUACCCAUUAAGCAAUCCCUUCCUAUUCCUGCCUCUACUCUGGCCCCUAGCAGCCAGCUAUUGGUUGUAUCCCUCUCUAUGAAUUUGUUUAUUUUGGAUAUCUCAUAUUAGUGGAAUCAUACAAUAUACAAGCUAUUAGCUGAUUUCUUUCACUUAGCAUAAUAUUUUUGAGGUUUAUUAAUGCUGUGUAGCAUGUGUCAGUGCUUCAUUUCUUUUUAUGGCUAAAUAAUAUUAUAUUGCAAUUAUAUGCAAUUUGUUUGCCCACUUAUCCAUUGAUGGAAGGUCUUUCCACCUUUUAGCUCUUGUGAAUGGUGCUUAGAGCUGCUAGCACUAUUCACAAUAGCCAAGACAUGGAAGCAACCUAAGUAUACAUUGACAGAUGAGUGGGUAAAGAAGAUGUGUUUUAUAUAUGUGCUUGUGUUUUAGACACACACACACACACACACACACACACACACAAUGGAAUAUUACUCAGCCAUAAAAAAGAAUGAAAUAACACCACGUGUAGUGACAUGGAUGCAACUGGAGAUUAUUAUAUUAAGUGAAAUAAGUCAGAAAGCAAAAGAUAAAUACCAUAUAUAUCACUUAUAUGUGCAAUCUAAAAUAUGACACAGGAGUUCCCAUCAUGGCGCAGCGGAAACGAAUCCAACUAGGAACCAUGAGGCUGUGGGUUCGAUCCCUGGCUUCACUCAGUGGGUUAAGGAUCUGGCGUUGCUGUGGCUGUGGUGUAGGCCAGCAGGUGUAGCUCCAAUUAGACCCCUAGCCUGGGAACCUCCAUAUGCCAUGGGUGUGGCCCUAAAAAGACAAAAGACAAAAAAUAAAAUAAAAUAAAAUAAAAUACGACACAAAUAGGAGUUCCCAUUGUGGCACAGUGGAAACAAAUCCGACUAGUAUCCACGAGGAUGUGGGUUCAAUCCCUGGCCUCUCUCAGUGGGUCGGGGAUCUGGCAUUGCCGUGAGCUAUGGUGUAGGUCGCAGAUGCGGCUCGGAUCCCGCAUUGCUGUGGCUCUGGUGGAGGCCGGCAGCUACAGCUCCGAUUAGACCCCUAGCCUGGAAACCUCCAUAUGCCUGGGGUGCAGCCCUAGAAAAGAUUUAAAAAAAAUGAAUAUAAUCCAGGAUGAACCAUCAUAUGUAUACAUAUACACACAUAUAUACUUGUGUGUGUGUGUAUUCACUACUAUUACUUCUUUUUUGACUUAAAGAGAAAUGAAAAUGAAAAUUUUUCCACAGCCCUAAGUGCAGCGGUGGUCUUCUGUCUGGGCACCUAGCAUCUCACGGAGAAGCCAUCAGCCCUAAGUAGAAGUAACAGGAGGACACCUAGCACAUUGUCACAGAAGCAAGUCCCCUUUAUGAUCCCACUGUCAAAAACAAUGCAGUUAAGUGUUGUUACUCCGAACUGGGGCUGGGUUCAGGGGAAUCAGCGGCCCCUCUGCCUCCUUCCUUGGCAGUGAUGCUGCUCCUGGCCCAGCACUGCCUGAGCUCAUGCAGCACGAUCCCUAGGCUUCUGGGGUAUAAGGGCAGGUGCUGGGGCUCAGCUUCAGGCCCAGCUCUGCCACUGACAUUCAACCAAGGUUUUGGGAUUUUUAUAAAGUCCAAUCUACCCUCUGACAUAGAGGGAAGGCUGUCCCAAAUUGGUGAGCAUCCUGCUCUUUUUCAUGCUGGGACAGCUGAGAACAGACACGUGGUCAUAUUUGUCUUGCUGCCUCUAAGUCCAAUCAUUACAUCAUUUCCCACAGAGUAGCUGACCCCAACAGAGUCACCUCCCAGGACUCUCUGCCCUGGAACCCAUGAGAGGCUGGCCUUGUUACCCCCGACCCUGUGGGAAAAUCUUGGGAGCCCACCUGGGGGCGCAUUCCACCACGAAGACAGGAUCAAAGAAAUCUGCCUGCAGGGAGAGACCAGAAUGAAGGCCAGACCAAGAGAAAGCAUCAGCAGUUGUCCCUGUGCUGUGACACAGGCAUCGAGGUGGCAGCCCCUUCAUGUUGGGUGGGGGCCACCUUGCAAGGUACCUCCUGCCCAAGGUCCCAGGAGCACCCUUAUUCUCUUCUCAUUCUUUCUGUCAGUCCAGCACCUAUGUUUCUGAGCUGUCUGAGAGCCUGGUUAAGCAAAUUGUUGGGCAAACUGGAGCAGAUUGUGGACACCAAUUAAUUCCACCCCUCAGUGAUGAGUGUGGCCACUCUGUGUGCAGCCGGACUCAGCCCAUCCCUCAUACAUGUGAGCAGCUGGAGCCCCAGUUAUAUCGCAAGAGUUGUCUCUGAGGCUUCUCCAUGCCCAACUUUUGCUUUUCUACAGCAACUCACUAUUGUAACCAAGAAGAAGCCUGUGAGGCCUUCCCCAGCAGACCCCUACUCAUGUCCUCGGACUGCCUUUUUGUCUAUAGAAAAACUCCUGAAAAUUUCAAAUUAAUCAGAGAAAUGAGAAAAUACAGAGAACAAGGAAAACAGAUAAGCCUGGCAGAGUAACAAUCGUCUAGCCUUUCAACAAAGCCAAGGAGUUCCUGUUAUGGCUCAGCAGUGACAAAUCCAACUAGUAUCCAUGAGAACACAGGUUCAAUCCCUGGCCUUGCUCAGUGGGUUAAGGAUCUGGCGUUGCUGUGAGCUGUGGUGUAGGUCGCAGAUGCGGCUUGAAGCUGGCAUUGCUAUGGCUGUGGCGUAGGCCUACAACUGCAGCUCUGAUUCAAUCCCUAGCCUGGGAACUUACAUAUGCUGUGAGUGCAGCCCUAAAAAGAAAAAAAACAAAACAGUCAAGGACCUUUAGUUCUUCCUCAAGGACUAUGGAUAAUAUUCUGAGCCCUGUCCUUGGAGGUGUUGUUCAGGUGCCGAAGCCCUCACCAGUGGAAGAAGUCAAAUCUAUGGGGCCCACAAGCACGAAGACCUCAGACAGGUAGGAAUCAGAAGGUUGAUGACACUGACUCCCAAUUACCUCACCACCAACCAAUCAGGAAAGUGUCUACGAGCUGACAUCACACCCUGCUCCUCAAACACUCUAAGACUCCUCACCACCCCCUCCAAAGGGGGCCAUGGUCCUUGAGGCACUAGCGGGCUGUGUUCCCCUCCUGGCCCUGCAAUGAAAGCCACGUUUCUGUUUCCUCCAACUCUGUCUCCACGUUUCUGUUCGGCAUCGGUGUACAGAGACGGCUGACAUUCCAGCAACACUAUGGCAUAGUCACCCCGUGUCUGUGAAGUUCCUCAAAUAUAAACUGCUCCUCUGUCAGUCUCUGAGACGGGUGCACACACAAGCCUGGAAACAGCUCCCUGGUGCCCUUCCUCAUUCCCUCUACACUCCUUUCUCGCGGAAACUGGGUGUGGAUGGGCCAGGAGCCCAUUCCUAGGAUCCUGGAGCCCCCCGGCCGUAGCCUGGUCUCAGAGACUCCUCUGCCCAUAUGGACCCCCGUCCCCUCCCAGGGAAGUCCUCCUGGGCCAGGACGGCCACGACAACCAACUAGGAGAUGAUCCCUCCCUCUCCUGUCCUGAUGGUCUCCACACUCAAGGGAGUAUGUCCAGGGAAGGUUUCUGGGCUUCUCCUGUACGGGUUGGCGUGGCUUGAAGCUGUCCUACCCAGGGGUCACGCCACGAUCCUCUGCCAACACUCCACUUUGGACCCCUUCCUCUUCCUCAUAGCUCGGGCUUCUGGGCCCUGGGGCUCCAGAUGAUGUCACCAUGGUGUACAUUCCUGCCUCCAUGGGCCCCUUCCCUUGAGUCAAUAUUGAUCUGGCUCCCUCAGCCUCUUCCUUCUUCCCCUUUCCUAUCCAGGGCCCCUUCUCCCCACAGAGCC